UGUUUCGGCUAGGGGGCCAUCCCGGCUUACCAACCCGAUGCAAACUACGAAUACCGAAGAAUGUUAUCACGGGAGACACACGGCGGGUGCUAACGUCCGUCGUGAAGAGGGAAACAACCCAGACCGCCAGCUAAGGUCCCAAAGUCAUGGUUAAGUGGGAAACGAUGUGGGAAGGCACAGACAGCCAGGAUGUUGGCUUAGAAGCAGCCAUCAUUUAAAGAAAGCGUAAUAGCUCACUGGUCGAGUCGGCCUGCGCGGAAGAUGUAACGGGGCUAAACCAUG
RNAcentral lists this ribosomal RNA (282 nucleotides) under Enterobacter asburiae. RNAcentral's name for it is "partial 23S ribosomal RNA". It matches the Rfam family "Bacterial large subunit ribosomal RNA", at positions 911 to 1191 of the family's 2925-position model. Lineage: Bacteria; Pseudomonadati; Pseudomonadota; Gammaproteobacteria; Enterobacterales; Enterobacteriaceae. RNAcentral also lists the same sequence under 10 other names. The record is from RNAcentral.